This 241-nucleotide ribosomal RNA is filed under the name uncultured bacterium. RNAcentral describes it as "partial 16S ribosomal RNA". It matches the Rfam family "Bacterial small subunit ribosomal RNA", at positions 15 to 244 of the family's 1533-position model. The record is from RNAcentral.
GAUCCUGGCUCGGGAUGAACGCUAGCUACAGGCUUAACACAUGCAAGUCGAGGGGAAACGACAUCGAAAGCUUGCUUUUGAUGGGCGUCGACCGGCGCACGGGUGAGUAACGCGUAUCCAACCUGCCUACCACUUGGGGAUAACCUUGCGAAAGUAAGACUAAUACCCAAUGAUAUCCCACGAAGACAUCUGAAUGGGAUUAAAAGAUUUAUCGGUGAUGGAUGGGGAUGCGUCUGAUUAG